RNAcentral lists this long non-coding RNA (694 nucleotides) under Gallus gallus (chicken). RNAcentral's name for it is "lncRNA (ENSGALG00010011511.1)". Lineage: Eukaryota; Metazoa; Chordata; Aves; Galliformes; Phasianidae. The record is from RNAcentral.
AAGCUGAAGCCCUUCAUCUCUAGAGAAGCUGCAGCUUUGGCAGUAGCUGCCAGGCUGUCCCGAGACUGGGCCUCAGCAUGACCCAUCUUAGAAGUGUUGCCUCGAAGGAGAGAGUAUAACAAGUGGUGAAGCUCAUGGGAAAUGCAUCAGUUCUCAUUCCGAGUCUGGCUGACAAAGAUAUGAACACUUAAUUAAGAUUUCUUUCAUCUCAUGAAAAUAGCCCUGAAGAUCUGAGCCUGACACGAGAGCUGCCAGCAAGAAUAGCAAAAGCAAAGUUUCCAGCUGUGGAAGAUCUUCAUUCAAGAACUUGCCCUCACAAACCAUCACACUUCUUUAAAUUGGGAGUGGGAUGUGGGUGCUUCCAAGUGGAUGACCUAACUCAAGCAAGAAACUCUUCUGACCCAUUCUCAUCCUUUGAAGUCCUCUCUCACGUAUGGAGAGACCUAUGGGAGGGAGAGCCUCUCUGCUCUGCAGGAACAGUGGAAUCAGUUGUGAAUGUUGCAGAAACAGUUGGCUUAGGCUUCCCAACAUGCCAUCUGUGAGCAAACAGAUUUUUUAGAUGACUGAUUCCAACAAAAUGCACAUUCUUUUUAUAUUUAUUUACAUACUUACAUGUAUAUUGAUUAAAAUCAGUCCAGUUUUGUUACGUUAAGUCAGUCUGUUGAUAAUUAAGCAUCUGUGCACGGGGAACAUU